GCCCUUUCCUCCUCCCACCGCGCACCAAAACAUGGGGUCCAAGAUCUUCUGUUGUUGCCGCAAGACCAGCGAGGGGUCUUCCACCACUGUUGGCUUCCACAAUCCAAGAAUGUUCGAACAGCAUCAUCCACGGUCCUUCAGUAGGUUCCAGACGUGGGUGUGUGAUAGUGUCAGGAACACCUGAAUGAUUCUCUGCGCCUCGGCCUCCCCGGCCACCUCCUGCUGGGACAUAGUCAGACUUCUUUCAGCCUUCUGGGAGUGUGGAAAGGGCGUAGUUACUCAAGCCUGGAACAACACAGUCUAAAGACUCUAUCAGUUAUUAGAGAUUAGUUAUUAGGUGGUAGAUAUUCGUUGAAAUCACUGGCUUUAGUCCUCCAUGGCCAUUUGUUGAUUUAUUUAAUUUCUCACUGAGUUUGUGGUACUUUAUUAGAUGGUAGUUUAAACUCUGCCUCUGCUGCUUACUGAGUUUGGGCAUGUCGCCGACCCUCCCUCUCUAAGCCUCAGCAUCCUUCUCUCCAAAAUGAGGAUAACGAUAAUAUAUUGCCCACUGUGCAGGCUGUUAGGAGGAUGAAGGCAGGCACCGUGUGUAAGUGAAUGCAUAUGGCCCCACACAAAGAAGACAUUCAACAAGGCCGGGCACGGUGGCUCACGCCUGUAAUCCCAGCACUUUGGGAGACUGAGGCGGGCAGAUCACGAGGUCAGGAGAUCGAGACCAUCCUGGCUAACACGGUGAAACCCCGUCUCUACUAAAAAUACAAAAAAUUAGCGGGGCAUGGUGGUGGGCGCCUGUAGUCCCAGCUACUCAGGAGGCUGAGGCAGGAGAAUGGAGUGAACCGAGGAGGCGGAGCUUGCAGUGAGCCGAGAUCGCGCCACUGCACUCCAGCCUGAGCGACAGAGCGAGACUCCACCUCAAAACAAAAAAAAAGACAUUCAACAAAUGAUAUCUGUGGAUGUGUAUAAGGAUCAGCUGGGCCACGCUGAGAUCUGAACACAAAUUCUCUCCACAGUGCUGUACCAAAAAGACAUCCACGCCUCCCCUAUGACAACCGCAUGAUGCUCAAGGCGUGCAUCCUUAGGAGGCCAUGAGCAUUCUAGCCGGCGGCACCCACGUGGUCCCUGCGGCUGCACAGCUGCUGGGCUUCCAUGAGGAAGAGGGCAGUGGACAAGAGUCAUGAAGACUGAUUCAGAAACUCCCCUGCAGGAGGAGAAGACGUCUGAGCCAUCCCUGUGCCACCACCAAGAGUCACUCCAGCUUCUGAAAAAGCCACCGUGGGGGGGAGCCGCCUCCAAUUAAAGUCCUUGGUCACAUCAGAGGAAGUGUCUCUCCUCCUUCCCCCUUUGCCAGCCCUACCUCUGAGAUUCCCAAAAACAUGGAGCAAUUAGACCCUGGCACCUCUUGGAAAGAAAUGUGGUUUUGUCAUUUUAACGCAUUAACACAUUUGUUUCAGUCACUCCUAACCAACCUAACAGGGAAGUGCUAUAUUAGGAGAGGCCAGUUUGUAUAACAGGCCACUGUCAUAAACGUCCAGAGCUUCAGGGCACAAUUCUGCUUGCCUACUGUGCGACUCCAUUUGACGCUCAGGGCCAUAGGGAACAGCAGGGCAUGUUGUGAAAAACUCUACAAACAGCAGCCCUAGAGUUAUGCAAUGCGUAGCCAGUGCUGAUACGCAGCACCGCUUGUGCUGAAACACGGAGUAUGCAACUGUGAGUAAUAUGCAGAAGACCCCACAUGGUUUCCACAUUAGCCAGGGAGCCAGGCAUGGAAGUGUAUCACUCUGACAUAAUAGGGCAAAAACUUGGAAAGCAAAAUGACAAAGGAGCAUUUUGCAACUGACUCGGGGAUUAAUGGAAGGCUUCCUGGAGGCGAUGGUGCUUGAAGGGAAGUUAGCUAAAAGGAGAAGGGAUGAUAUUCCAGAAGGAGGGAAUACAAUCAGCAAAGUUGGAAAAUAGGGGCACGACCUGGGAGGGCAUGAGGGUAGCAAAGUACCAAGUCUAGAAUGACUCAAGUGAAAACCUGAGCCAGGGUUUGGUGGGAGGUGAAGUGGGCAGAGCAUCAAGAGCUUUGUAUCCAGGGAAAAGGAGCUGAACUCUAUCUUGAAAAUAAUGGGAAGCCACAGGUGAGUUUUAAGCAACAAAGUGACACAGCCUGAUUUCCAACUUUUGUACUAUGAACAGUGCCUUAGUCUGUUCAGACUACUAAAAUAAGAUACCAUAACCGGGUGACUUACAAACAACAGAAGUUUAUUUCUCACAGUUUUGGAGGCUGGGAAGUCCAAGAUCAAAACUCCAGCAGCAUCAGUGUCUGGUGAGGGCCUGUUCCUCAUAGAGGGCGCUUCUUGCUGUGUUCUCACAUAGCAGAAGGGGCAAGGGGUCUCUCUCAGGCUCUUUCAUAAGGGCACUAAUCUCAAUCGUGAGGGCUCUGCUCUCAUGACCUAAUCCUCCUAAACCUCCCAAAGACCACAAUUCUUAUACCAUCACCUUGGGAGUUAAGAUUUCAACACAUGAAUUUGGGGGAACAUUAACAUUCAGACCAUAACAAACAAGGCGAGUUGGAAGACAACACUUUUUUUGUUUGUUUGUCUGUUUGUCUGAGACGGAGUCUUGCUCUGUCACCCAGCCUGGAGGGCAGUGGCAUGAUCUUGGCUGGCUGCAACCUCCACCUCCCAGGUUCAAGGAUUCUCCUGCCUCAGCCUCCCAAGUAGCUACAGGAAAGUGCCACCACACCCAGCUAAUUUUUUUUUUUAAUUUUUUUUUUGAGACGGAGUUUCUCUUUCGUUGCCCAGGCUGGAGUGCAAUGGCACACUUUCGGCUCACAGCAACCUCUGCCUCCCGGGUUCAAGCGAUUCUCCUGCCUCAGCCUCCUGAGUAGCUGGGAUUACAGGCACCCUCCACCAUGCCUGGCUAAUUUUGUAUUUUUAGUAGAGACAGGGUUUCUCCAUGUUGAUCAGGCUGGUCUCCAACUCCUGACCUCAGGUGAUCCGCCCGCCUCAGCCUCCCAAAACGCUGGGAUUACAGGCGUGAGCUACCGCGCCCGGCCUAAUUUUUGUAUUUUUAGUAGAGACGGGGUUUUGCCAUUUUGUUCAGGCUGGUCUUAAACUCCUGACCUCAGGUGAUCCGCCCAUCUCAACCUCCCAAAGUCCUGGGAUUACAGGCGUGAGCCACUACACCCGGCCAGAAGACAAUUUAUUAAUUAGCACUCCUUAUGCCUUCCCCACCUCAGAAAAGAGAAGAAUAAAGGAAUAUGAUGUCUAUGCCAUGGCAAUGUGGAGUAAAAUUCAUACCUUCAAUGAAAAGCCCAUCCUGGCUAUAAUGUGAAGGAUGGAUUUUGUUUUGUUUUGUUUUGUUUUUUGAGACGGAGUCUCGCUCUGUCAUCCAGGCUGGAGUGCAGUGGUGCGAUCUCAGCUCACUGCAACCUCCACCUCUCGGGUUCAAGCGAUUCUCCUGCCUCAGCCUCCCAAGUAGCUAGGACUACAGGCGCAUGCCACCACGAUUUGAGUGUAAUAGUAAUCACAAUAGACAGCCUGGUUCCUUGCUUACUCUGUGCCAGAUCCUCUUCCAAGUGCUUCAUAAAUAUCAACCCAAUCAGCACAAUAACCCAACAAGGUUAGAACUGUUACUACCUGAUUUUACAGAUUAGGGAAGUGAGACACAGGUUAAAUAAAUCUUUUAAGGUUUACACUAACUCACAUUAAGUGCCAGAGCUAAGACUUUAACUCAAGAAACCCAACUGCAGAGUCCACACUCUUAACAACUUGGUUAUGCGGCCCCUCGAUAAUGGUAGAAUGACAUUCAGUUAUUACUCUGGACCCCAAAUUUACUGUUCAUCGCCUGCUCUUCAAAAAUGGAGCUGGCCCUUUAAAUAUUUUUCUUUUGGUAGUUGGUGCAAUGCUAGGCUCUGUCAGGAGGGGGAGCUAGAGACAUUGGAGGAGGAAGAGGCCUUCCUUUCUGGUUGUGCUGGGCUCAUCUUAACAGCACAGAGCUCACAGCUUCUCCAACAUCACCCUCCCGCAGUGCAGGCAACUUUUCCAGAACAGGAAUCCUGCAGAGGAUGGUGGUCAGUAGCACUUGGCAACUAGCAGCUUCUCCUAGUGCCCCCACAAAUAGGUGUGCCUCUAAUCAGACACUGUUCCAUGACAGCUUUCCCUGGCACCCAAGGGCAGACUUCUAGAACAUUCUCCCAGACUUCUCUGCCAUUGUGAGGCACAGCCAUGCCCUUCCCAGCAACAUCUGGAUCUCAGCUGGGGAUAGAGCCUGGGGGUGUUCUUUCUUAGUUCUAGGGGUGCUGGCUGCUCCUUAUGUCCAUUAUUCCUAUAUUCUUUAAAGCUCUCCUGACUUCUUACCACUCCUUCAUUACUCCAAUCCCCUGUUCUAGUUAGUACUUAUAUUAAUCUUCUCAUAUUCAAAUUGUUAUGUGGUUUCUGUCUCCCAAGUGGAUCAUGACUAAUGCAGAAAUCAAAUUAAGAGGCUGGGCUUAUGUCUGUGGCCCCAGAAAUACAGGAGGCAGAGGCAGGAGUAUCACUUGAGGCCAGGAGUUUGAGAUCAGCCUGGGCAACACAGCAAGACCCGAUCUCUACCAAAACAAAACAAAACAAAUUAAGCGACUGCCUAGGCAAUCAGGACAGACAGUGAUACAGGCCUAAAGUAGGGCAGCAGCAGUCAGGAUGAAUAAGAGGACCUUGAGUCAUAUUUCUCAGGCAAAGCUGGCCAAUUCUAACUCAGAACCAUACAGGAAAGAAGAUUCUAGGGAAUGAGGUCCUUGUGGUAUUGAGGCCAAGUUGACAACAACAGCAGAUCACUUAAUUUUGGGCUAUUCCAAGCUGGAGGGGCCUAUGGGACAUCCAGAUGACCAUAUUAAGAAGGUUGGCAAUAUUUAGCAGGAAAAGGUAAAAGAACUAUAGCUGGAAGGAAGCAGAGAGGCCUACAACAUGUGUGUGGAGUUGUCAGCUCACUGCAUCGUGGCACCUCUUCCCCAUGGGAUGAGACCCCACUGGCAUCUGUUGGGUGAAGAUACAGUUCACUUUCCCGGACCUCAUGUCCAGAGUCCUCUUCCACUGCCCAUUCUCAUACUGUAUCCCCUGGACCCACCCUCUUACCCAGAUUCCCCUUGUCCUAUGCAUUCCUCACCUCCUCUCAUGCGAAGGUCCCACUUUCCUUCCCCAGCAAACCCCAUAUUCCUUAUUUCUUGGACUGCUUUCUGCAACAACUGUAGCAGGUGCUUUACACAAAAAAGAUGCUCCUUAAAUGUCACUUCCUGCUUUGAUAAUUUAGAAACUCCUUCACAGAAGGGAUGCAAAGAAGCCUCCAUCCUGUGACUUUUUUAAAGGGCUCUCAGCCACAGGGUGACAUCUUUCUUUGAAGGAUUUUCAAAUAGUAACAAUAAAAAUAAUCAUGGAAACCACAGCUGGAUUUACUUCUGAUCAUGGUAAACUAGCUUGUAUCAGACCAACCCUCCUGCUGACAGCAGUUUAAAAGCAAUUGUUCUUUUUUCUUAAAUGUGUUUGAAUGCAUCAGAGAGAUAUCAACAUAGUCAGGACACGAGGGGCCAAGAUGCUGAAGAGAAAAGUAGAGAGAGGAGAUGAGCACCGAAGCCUUCUUAUCCCCUUGAGGCACCUGCCGAGUCCUAAGCAGAGUCCAAGUAGCUGAAAAGUUGAGUAGAGCUUUCAGAAGUCUCACAGCGGCCAGGCGUGGGGGCUCACGCCUGUAAUCCCAGCACUUUGGGAGGCCGAGACAGGUGGAUCACAAGGUCAGGAGAUCAAGACCAUCCUGGCUAACACAGUGAAACCCCGUCUCUACUAAAAAUACAAAAAAUUAGCCGCGUGUGGUGGUGGGCGCCUGUAGUCCCAGCUACUGGGGAGGCUGAGGCAGGAGAAUGGCGUGGACCUGGGAGGCGGAGCUUGCAGUGAGCCAAGAUCAUGCCACUGCACUCCAGCCUGGGAGACAGAGCGAGUCUCUGUCUCAAAAAAAAAAAAAAAAAAAAAAAAUGUCUCACAGCUUGGGGUAACAAAAAUUGGAGGUUUAGGACUCACCAUGAAAGAGGAGUCCUGGUUUUAUAAACACACACACACACGUUUUCAGCUAAAACCCCUGUAGGGCUACAACCUGAGAGUAAGGUUUAAUCACACCUAGACUAGCUCUCACAAAGCCCAGGGUCAAGUUUAUCUCAAGCCUACUUUUCCCAGAAGCAAAAGUAAAUCCUGCCUGAGGGAAGAUCCAGAGCCUUGUAUAUCUCUUCAAUUUUUCAAAAUUUUCAUUUUUCAAAAUGUCUAGCAUUUAAUGAAAAAUUACCAUGAAUAUCAAAAAAUAAGACCAACUGACUGAAAAGCAAAAGGAAAAAAAAAAGAACCAGAUAUUAGAGUUUGCAGACAUAAACUUUAAAAGCAGUACAAUUAAAUAUUGAGGAGAAUAGAUGACAAGAUUGGUAAUUUCAUUUGAGAACUGGAAACUAUUUCUAAAAAAACAAAAUUAUAGAACUGAACAUUAUGAUGGAUGAAAUUAAAAACUCAGGCUGGGCAUGGUGGCUCACAGCUGUAAUCCCAGUGCUUCAGGAGGCAGAGGCAGGAGGAUUACUUGAGGCCAGAAGUUCAAGACCAGCCUGGGCAACACAGCAAAACCCCGUCUCUACAAAACAUUUAAAAAUUGGCCAGGCAUGGUGGCACCUGCCUAUAGUCCUAGCUACUUGGGAGUCUUAGGUCCCAGGAGUUUAAGGUUGCAGUGAGCUGUGAUUGUGCUACUGCACUCCAGCCUGGGCAACAGAGCAAGACCCUGCCUCUUAAAAAAAAAAAAAAAGAUAAAAAAAUUAGAAACUGGAUUGAUUUUUAAAUGAAACAUAGGGUUAACAAAAAAACUCCAUUGAUAGAAUUAAACACAAAUGAGGGCAAGAUUAAUGGAGAAGACGAGUCAGUAGAAAAUAUCCAGGCUGAAUCACAAAGAACCAAAAGAAUGGAAAAAUACCAAGAAGGGUCUUAGAGAUAUAGUGAAAAGGUCUAACACUUAUCAUUAGAGUCCUGAACAAGAUGAGAGAGAAGAGGGUGAAUGCUGUGAUGAAAGAUAUCAUGUCACAGUUUCAAGAUGUGCUAUGAACAAGCACAAGCAGGAAAAAUACUUUAAAAGCUACAGCUAGGCACAUCAGAAUAUAACUGCUAAAACUCAAUGCAAAGAGAAAAUGUUGAGAGCAGCAAUGGGGCUGACAGAUGACUUCUCAACAGAAGCAACAGAAACCAAUGACAUCUUCAAAAGGUUGAAAGAAAAUAACUGCACUAACCUAGAAUUCCUUACUUACCAAAAAUAUCUUUCAAAAAUAAAAACAAAAUACAGACUUCUCAGCAAACAAAAAUUGAAUUUGUCACCAUAAGAUCUGUACUGAAAGGAAAAUACUAAAGGUAUUUCUAAAUAUACUAUACUAAAUAUGAUACUAUAUUGAAGAAAAAUUCUAAAGUUAGUUCCAGAAGCAGGAUCCAAAAUAGAUGUAUGGAAAUACAGAAAGGAACAAAGGGCAAUAAAAUUGAAGUAACAAAGAGCAAUAAAAAGUAACAUGUGAAUAAAUCUAAAUGAAUAUUGACUAUAGAAAGCAUUAAUAAGAAUGUCUGUUGUGGCUUAAAAUACAUAGAAAAUUGAAAUCCAUGACAAGACUACCGUAACAGGUAGAAAGGUGAAAGAAUUGUAUAGUUGUUGGAGCCAGGCACGGUGGCUCUCACCUGUAAUCCCAGCACUUUGGGAGGCUGAGGCAGGUGGAUCACUUAAGGUCAGGAGAUCGAGACGAGCCUGGACAACAUAGUGAAACUCUGUCUCUACUAAAAAUACAAAAAUCAUCAGGGUGUGGUGGUGCACACUUGCAAUUCCAGCUACUCGGGAGGCUGAGGCGGGAGAAUCACUUGAACCUGGGAGGCGGAGGUUGCAGUGAGCCAAGAUCGUACCACUGCACUCUAGCCCAGGCCACAGAGGGAGACUCCGUCUCCAAAAAAAAAAAAAAAAAAAAUUGUGUAGUCGCUGGGUUAUCCAGGAAAUGAUAGAAGUGAUCAUGUAUAAUACACUUCAGUAAGUCAAGGAUGCUUGUUAAAUCUAGGGUAAGAACUGAAAGAAAAGUAUACUUCAUAUGCUAAUAAAGGAGAAAUUACCCAAAACAAACAACCUUAAUCCAAAACAAGGAAAAAAGACAGAAAAAAGAAAAGAACACAGUAACAGAAAAACCGAUAGAAAGAAUUAUUAGUAAGAUGGUACAUUCAAACCUAAGUCUAUCAGUAAACACAUUAGAUAUAGUGUAGUAAAUACUUUGAAUUAGAAAAAAACUUAAUUUCAAAAAAGCAAAUCUUACAUGCCUACAAGGGUGAAACCUUAAAUAUAAGAAUGUGAAAAGGUCAAAAGUAAAAGGAUGAACAAAGAUAUACUACGCAAUGACUAAUCAAAAGAAAGCUAAUUUCCUCUCAGUAAGCAAGGAAUAGAGAAGAAACUUUCUCAACUUGUUAAAGAAUAUCUCAUCUAGGCAUGGUGGCUCAGGCCUGAAAUCUCAACACUCUGGAAGGCUGAGGUGGGAGGAUCAACUCCAGGAGUUCAAGAUCAGCCUGGGCAACAUAGUGAGACCCCAUCUCUACAAAAAACUAAAAAAUUAUGGCUGGAUGUGGUGGCCCAGGCCAGGCACAGUGGCUCACGCCUGUAAUCUCAGCACUUUGGGAAGCCAAGGUGGGUGGAUCACCUGAACUCAGGAGUUCAAGACCAAACUGAGCAACAUCAACAUGACAGAACCCUGUCUCUACCUUUUGGUAGCCAAGCAUGGUGGUGCAUGCCUGUGGUCCCAGCUACUCAGGAGGCUGAGGUGAGAGGAUCACUUGAGCCUGGGAGGCAGAGGUUGCAGUGAGCCAAGAUCCCACUACUCCACUCCAACCUGGGUGACAGAGUGAGAUCCCAUUUCAAAAAAAAAAAUAAAUGGCAUAUAGACCCAGCUACUCAGAAGGAUUGCUUGAGCUCGGGAGAUCAAGGCUGCAGUAAGCUAUGAUUGUGCCACUGCACUCCAGCCUCCAGCCUGGAUAACAGAGUGAGACCCUGUCUCAAAACAAAACAAAAAACCUACUAGGGCCGGGAAUGGUGGCUCACACCUGUAAUCCCUAGCACUUUGGGAGGCUGAGGCGGGCGGAUCACAAGGUCAAGUGAUCAAGACCAUCCUGGCCAACAUGGUGAAACCCGAUCUCUACUAAAAACACAAAAAAAUUAGCUGGGCGUGGUGGCACACGCCUAUAGUCCUAGCUACUCCAGAGGCUGAGGCAGGAGAAUUGCUUGAACUCAGGAAGUAGAGGUUGCAGUGAGGUGAGAUCGGGCCACUGCACUCCAGCCUGGUGAUGGAGCAAGACACUGUCUCAAAAUAAAACAAAAUAAAACAAAAAAAACCUACCAGAAAGUCCGGAGCUAACAUUAUAUUUAAUAGUGAAUGCCAGGCAUGGUGGCUCACGCCUGUAAUCCCAGCACUUUGGGAGGCCAAGGAGGGCAGAUCACCUAAGGUCAGGAGUUUGAGACCAGGCUGGCCAACAUGGAGAAACCCCAUCUCUACUAAAGAAAAAUAAAAAUAAAAAAAUAAAAAAAUAAAACAUAUAAAAAUUAGUCAGGUAUGGUUGUGCAGGCCUGUAAUCCCAGCUAUUCGGGAGGCUGAGGUAGGAAAAUUGCUUGAACCCAGGAGGUGGAGGUUCCAGUGAGCUGAGAUUGUACCACUAUACUCCAGCCUGGGCAACAGAGCAAGACUCUGUCUCAAACAAACAAACAAAAAAUAGUGAGACACUAGAAACUCCCACUACAAUCAUAAACAAGGCAAGAAUGUUCCCUCUUACCACUACUCUUCAACAUCAUACUGGAAGUCCAAGCCAAUGAAAUAGGACAAGAAAAGGAAAUAAAAAGUAUACAGAUAUACAGAUGAGGAAGGAAGAAAUAAAACUGUCUUUGUUUACAGGUGAGAUGAUUAUCUCAUCAACAAAAGAAUCAACAAAGAAACUCCUAAAACUAAUAAGAGAUUAUAGCAAGGUUGCAGGAUACAAUGUGAGUAGAUAAAAUUCAAUCACUUUCCCAUAACUAGCAAUGAACAAAUGAAAUUUGAAACUAAAUACACAAUACUAUUUUUAUUAGCACCCCCAAAAAUAAGAUAUUUAGGUAUAAAUCUUAUAAAUCUAACAAAAUAUGUACAAGAUCUAUAAGAAAAAUUACCAAAAAAAAAAAAACUGUAGGAAAAGGGAAAAACCCCUACAAAACUGAUAAAAGAAAUCAAAGAACAACUAAAUAAAUGAAGACAGAUUCUAUGUUUGUGGAUAGAAAUCAAUAUUGUGAAAAUGUCAGUUCUUGCAACUUGAUCUAUGGAUUUGAUGCAAUCCCAAUCAAAAUAAACAGUGAGUUAGUUUGUGGAUAUUGACAAACUGAUUCUAAAGUUUACAUGGAAAGGCAUAAGACACACAAUAGCCAAAUCAACAUUGGGAGAGAAGAACUAAGUUGGAGGACUCACACUACCCAAUUUCAAGACUUACUAUAAAGCUACAGUAAUCAAGACAGUGUGUUAUUGGGAAAGAACAGACACAUAGAUCAAUGGAACAAAUAGAGAGCCCAGAAAUAGACCCACAUAAGUAUAGUCAACUGAUCCUUGAAAAAAAAAAAAAAAAAGCAAAGGCAAUACAAUGGAGCAAAGAGAGUCUUUUCAACAGAUGGUGCUGGAACAAUAUGCAAAAAAUUAAUCCAGAUGGAGACCUUACAACCUUCAGAAAAACUAACUCAAAAUGAAUCACAGACCUAAGUGUAAAAACACUCAACUAUAAGAUAACAUAGGAUAACAUAAACUAGGAGCCAACAGCAGCCAGCAGCUGCAGAAGAAACGCCCCCACUGACUGAGCCCUUACUGUGGACCAGGCUUUGUGCUUCACAUCAAUCACUCCCGUUAAUCCCCCUUAUUAUCACACUCCCCCCUUAAUACAUGAGGAAAUUAGGUACAGAAAGUACAGUAAGAGUGA
Molecule: long non-coding RNA, 10973 nt
Filed under: Homo sapiens (human)
Lineage: Eukaryota; Metazoa; Chordata; Mammalia; Primates; Hominidae
Description: HSALNT0354505
Source: RNAcentral